Molecule: transfer RNA, 64 nt
Filed under: Cavia porcellus (domestic guinea pig)
Lineage: Eukaryota; Metazoa; Chordata; Mammalia; Rodentia; Caviidae
Rfam family: tRNA
About the family: Transfer RNA (tRNA) molecules are approximately 80 nucleotides in length. Their secondary structure includes four short double-helical elements and three loops (D, anti-codon, and T loops). Further hydrogen bonds mediate the characteristic L-shaped molecular structure. tRNAs have two regions of fundamental functional importance: the anti-codon, which is responsible for specific mRNA codon recognition, and the 3' end, to which the tRNAs corresponding amino acid is attached (by aminoacyl-tRNA synthetases). tRNAs cope with the degeneracy of the genetic code in two manners: having more than one tRNA (with a specific anti-codon) for a particular amino acid; and 'wobble' base-pairing, i.e. permitting non-standard base-pairing at the 3rd anti-codon position.
Source: Rfam by way of RNAcentral
GGGGAUUUAGCUUAGUGGCAAAAGCACCUGCUUGGCAAGCACAAGGUUGUGAGUUCAAUCCCUG